This 1972-nucleotide long non-coding RNA is filed under the name Nicotiana benthamiana. Its description in RNAcentral is "long non-coding RNA (NBEN_LNC036089)". Lineage: Eukaryota; Viridiplantae; Streptophyta; Magnoliopsida; Solanales; Solanaceae. The record is from RNAcentral.
AAUUAAACCAUCAUUCUUAAGCACAUUGAACUUGUUAUCAUUAGAUGCAUGCUGAGAACAAAAUAGUCUAUACAAGCUAGAAUAAAUCUAAUCUCAGUAACAACGAAAUCUGAUUGAGUAUAACACUACACUAGCCCAUAAUACUACUGAAUGAAUUCUACGAAAUAGUAGUUCCAAUAAUCCCAAUCAUACAGUCAAAUUCGUGUGUAUAAACAUCAAACUUCAAACUACACUAAAAAAGUAAACUAAACAGCACAAAUCGACAGGCAUAACUUUCAGGAGCAAAUGAGAGAUCCAUUUUAUUGCGUGUCCACGUCAAAUCAGCGCCAGCACAAUCAGGAUAGGAAUGAGUACAUGGUUUUUUGAAUAACAACAGAGGAAGAGAAGGUCAGCAGCAAGUAAUGAGAGCUCACACCAGCCAGAACCAGUCCAACUGUUCAGGGAGUUUUUAAUACCAAACAAAAUCCAAGCAACCAACCACAAAUUAACUGAAAUGCAUCCAAAUAGACUUGAAAUACUCAAAAAUACUUCAUCAAACCCAAAACUCAAGAAAACUAAUUUAAUUGAACCCAAAGUUAAUCGAAACUAAACCAGACUACUUUUGAAACCUUCAAUUAUCGGAGUCGAACUAGGAACUGCAAAUCAGUAGCUCAAAGUUGAAAAUUCUCUCAAAAAUUUAAUGGAACAGUAGCUGUUUUUGGAUUUUUGGAAGUUUCUAUUGUUUUUUAUUUUCUAUAUGAAGAAAGCUAAAAUCUAAGAGGAUUUUUUUACUUGAAUUUGAAUUUUCAGAUCUGUUUCAGCAAAAAAUUUUGGGGGAAAUUCUAUGGCUAAUAAAAGACCCCUUUCAAGGCAAUUGUGAUGCCCUUUUAUAAGCAAACAAGGUGAAUUAUCAGAUUUUAGUAUUUCUUUCAGGUCCCUAUGAAUUUUCAGCUUAUAUCCCUUAUUUUUUUCCUUUUGACUCAAGUCACACCUCUAUGUUAACUGAAAUAUGCCUUAACACCUACACCUAGAAUCUUCUAGGAAAUUCUAACUAGUUUCCCUACCCCAAAUUACCCCAAUUGCCCUUAAUUAACUAAUUGUACUUAGGACUGACUUGCUAACUCUAAACAACUAGACUAAACAUGGAUAAACUAACAGUUAUCUGACUAAAGCAAGCAUUAAUCACAGAACUUUGUUCAAUUAUUAACCAAUUCGAUCAACAAUCAGAAAUAAACCAUUAUCAACUAUUAGUCUAACAGAAUUAAGAACAGAAGUCAAGCUAAACCAGAACAUAUUUAAAAGACAACUACCAAAUUAAACUAAUCGGAACGAGUAGCUAGCAGGUGAUAAUUAAACUAAAAACCCAAACCAAUUGAACCCUCAACAUUAACUAAUCAUGCAAACUAAUUAUUGUCAAAGUUAUUCCAGCACUCUAAUUGACUACUCAUGCCAGCAAAAAAACAAAGAUAAAAGGGUGACCGAAAAAGAAAAGAAAAGGAAGGGAAUGAACUUACUAAAACAAAGAUCGGUCAAUUAAUCAAUUCUCUAAUUUGGCCAUUUUCAGUGAAAUUCGAGCUCUAUUGACACUAAAAUCCUUAUGAGGGCAGUCCAGGAACCCUAUCGUACUCAUUUGGUGAGGAUUGGAUUAUUUAGGGUUUGGCCAAAAGACCCAAUAAUCCCAAUUCGAGAAGUUUCAGGGAGAUUCGAGACAUGUGGUUAUGUGGAUUUGGUAGAGGAGGCUUAGGUGAUCCUAAGGUGUUAAUUUGGUGCCGUUUGGGACUAGUAGUGUCAUGGCCAGAAAAAGUUUCAACGAAGAUUCGAAGAGCUAGGCCGGGUUUUGAAGGGAACUGUUUGUAGAUUUGAGAUGAGGGAGAAGAUAGGAUCACAUGGUAUUAAUUUGGGGUUGAUCGGAGAAGGUGGUGUUCGCCGUCGGCUGCGUUACAGAGGAGAUACGAGGAAGAUAGAUGCUGUCUUUUAGGGUUAUUAAUUUUUC